AUUGAACGCUGGCGGCAUGCCUUACACAUGCAAGUCGAACGGCAGCACGGGUGCUUGCACCUGGUGGCGAGUGGCGAACGGGUGAGUAAUACAUCGGAACAUGUCCUGUAGUGGGGGAUAGCCCGGCGAAAGCCGGAUUAAUACCGCAUACGAUCCACGGAUGAAAGCGGGGGACCUUCGGGCCUCGCGCUAUAGGGUUGGCCGAUGGCUGAUUAGCUAGUUGGUGGGGUAAAGGCCUACCAAGGCGACGAUCAGUAGCUGGUCUGAGAGGACGACCAGCCACACUGGGACUGAGACACGGCCCAGACUCCUACGGGAGGCAGCAGUGGGGAAUUUUGGACAAUGGGGGAAAGCGUGAUCCAGCAAUGCCGCGUGUGUGAAGAAGGACUUCGGGUUGUAAAGCACUUUUGUCCGGAAAGAAAUCCUUGACUCUAAUACAGUCGGGGGAUGACGGUACCGGAAGAAUAAGCACCGGCUAACUACGUG
Molecule: ribosomal RNA, 486 nt
Filed under: uncultured bacterium
Lineage: Bacteria
Description: partial 16S ribosomal RNA
Rfam family: Bacterial small subunit ribosomal RNA
Source: RNAcentral